UCCUGCAACUAUAAAUUCUGCUGUUGUCAUUUACCAUCUUCCAGGUGUAGCUACUAAAUGUCUGUAUGGGAACUGCUGAAUUAUAGUCUGAACCUCUGAUUGAUCACCUGAGGCAAGCAAUGAGUCAGCCCUGGGAGCACAGGUGAAGGCAAUUCACCUGUGUUGGUGGAAGGGGUGGAGCUUGGCUCCACCUCUCCUAGACCCCAUUUAAGAGCUGACUUCCAGGGGGGAAGGAUCUUUUUCUGGAGAUCUCUUUUUCUGGAGUUUUUCGGUGAACCCAAACAUGAGCCCAGAGAGCAGGAAAUGAGUUGGCUGGUAACCAAGAAGGCACAGAAAGAAUACGGAUUUCCCAGGGAUUUUAUAUACAAUACAGAAACAGUAACUGGUAUGAGUUUGUUGCUGGAAAAACAGCUGGAUGACAGAAGAAAACAACUCUGAAACAGUAUCUGCAGCUGCUACCGGUCUGGGUUUUGGCACUCCCUACUUUCAGGAUGAAGAGUCAUUUUUCCAAAUAAUUGACGAGUAAUAAACACUGUAGAAAAGAUCUAUUGGGAAAGAAAAAACCCAACGAAAACAAUGUCCAAAAAAACUCUACAUGGAAAAGAACAGAAAAUACCGUGCAUGAUCUGGCUCAGAUUUACCAGAAUUCAGUGAAGCUGAACAAAGAAGGGGAAGGAGAAAUGUCUUCUGUUUCAUUUGAAAAACAAACAAACAAAAAGAUUCUGUAGAGUGAAAUUACCUGAAGACUGGAUCAGUAUCUAAGCAAACUGCCAAGUCUCCAAGACCAGAACGUGAGCAUGUGGCAGGAGCUGUAGUCUGCUUUAGUCUGCUUCUACAGAUUUUGUUGCUGCUGUUGGUUUUGUUCUUUCUCACCUCCUCAUCCAGCAUUACCAAGCAACAUAUUUGUCUAGCAUGUCUUGCUUGAAGUGAAAUCUGCUACAAUUUCCAUUAUCUACUUCUAAUGGGAGUUGAGCAGUUUGUUAUAACUAUCCUGAAAAUAGCUACUGAGCUACUUGAUGUUAAAUUGGUGCAUCAGGUAAAAACUGAUCUUUGUGUAAUCUUCAAGUGCAUUUCUCUUCUGUUAACUUCCGUGAGGCCUGGGUGUAAUAUUACUAAAAUCAGCAUUAUCUUUGGAAAUUCAUUCACUGAUCUCUUCAAUCCACUGAUUGUGAGAUUUAGCUUUUGGUAUGCUUGUUAUAUUUGUUAGAAAAUUGGAUUUUUUUUCCUUAGUGUUUCUAUUUCAUUUAAUUCAAGCUCUCUCCAUAAAGCUUCUGAAGUAUAAGAACAAUUGCUUCUGUUCCAAGGCUAUUUACAAUGGUUUGAAGGGCCUCCAGGGCAUCGUACGGAGAUUGCUGUAAAUCCUCGCUUUUGUAGGAAUCAGAAAAUUUGCUAUACUUCCCAAAUAAAAUAAAAUCCCAGAACUAUGUUGAGCCUUUGA
Molecule: long non-coding RNA, 1438 nt
Organism: Tympanuchus pallidicinctus (lesser prairie-chicken)
Lineage: Eukaryota; Metazoa; Chordata; Aves; Galliformes; Phasianidae
Exons: 4
Source: RefSeq, a predicted model, not a curated record